CCUACGGGAGGCAGCAGUGGGGAAUAUUGGACAAUGGGGGGAACCCUGAUCCAGCCAUGCCGCGUGUGUGAAGAAGGCCCUCGGGUUGUAAAGCACUUUCAGUGAGGAAGAACGCCUGGUGGUUAAUACCCAUCAGGAAAGACAUCACUCUCAGAAGAAGCACCGGCUAACUCCGUGCCAGCAGCCGCGGUAAUACGGAGGGUGCGAGCGUUAAUCGGAAUUACUGGGCGUAAAGCGCGCGUAGGUGGCUUGAUAAGCCGGUUGUGAAAGCCCCGGGCUCAACCUGGGAACGGCAUCCGGAACUGUCAAGCUAGAGUGCAGGAGAGGAAGGUAGAAUUCCCGGUGUAGCGGUGAAAUGCGUAGAGAUCGGGAGGAAUACCAGUGGCGAAGGCGGCCUUCUGGACUGACACUGACACUGAGGUGCGAAAGCGUGGGGAGCAAACAGGAUUAGAUACCCGUGUAGUC
Molecule: ribosomal RNA, 465 nt
Filed under: Vreelandella stevensii
Lineage: Bacteria; Pseudomonadati; Pseudomonadota; Gammaproteobacteria; Oceanospirillales; Halomonadaceae
Description: partial 16S ribosomal RNA
Rfam family: Bacterial small subunit ribosomal RNA
Source: RNAcentral